AUCCACUUGGAAAAUGGUUACGCCAAGGGAAAAAUAUUAAAUUCAUAAUAAAUUUUAAAAAUGUGAUACAAAAUGAAUUUUUUAUGGUUUGUAAGAUUUAAGGUGCCUUUUCCCUUGUAAUAGAAGCUAUGUUUUUGCACAGAGGAGAAGUAUGGUAUUUUAUGAGAAGACAUGCUAUGAAUGAUGAAAGGCUCUAUUUCAGCAAGUCACAGGCAGAAAAGUCCAAAACAAUGGAAUAGAACUGCAGCAUUGUUGAAAGGUUUUACUCCCAUCACCCAGGUGGAGAGCAGCGGUGCAUUCACAUGAACCUUGAUUUUUUUGGCAUGUAAAAUGGGGUUAAUAAAAGUACCACUAGCUAUGAGAAUUAGAUGAGUAUUUUGUACAAUAUAAGACUCUACAGAAUAAUAGCACAGUAAGUUCUCCCUUAAUGUCAGGUUCUUGGAAACCAUUAAGUGAAAUGAUGUAUUACAAAGC
This 474-nucleotide long non-coding RNA is filed under the name Macaca nemestrina (pig-tailed macaque). RNAcentral describes it as "lncRNA (ENSMNEG00000046176.1)". The record is from RNAcentral. Lineage: Eukaryota; Metazoa; Chordata; Mammalia; Primates; Cercopithecidae.